Molecule: ribosomal RNA, 746 nt
Filed under: uncultured bacterium
Lineage: Bacteria
Description: bacterial SSU rRNA
Rfam family: Bacterial small subunit ribosomal RNA
Source: RNAcentral
ACGCUGGCGGCAGGCCUAACACAUGCAAGUCGAGCGGUAGAGAGAAGCUUGCUUUUCUUGAGAGCGGCGGACGGGUGAGUAAUGCCUAGGAAUCUGCCUGGUAGUGGGGGAUAACGUUCGGAAACGGACGCUAAUACCGCAUACGUCCUACGGGAGAAAGCAGGGGACCUUCGGGCCUUGCGCUAUCAGAUGAGCCUAGGUCGGAUUAGCUAGUUGGUGGGGUAAUGGCUCACCAAGGCGACGAUCCGUAACUGGUCUGAGAGGAUGAUCAGUCACACUGGAACUGAGACACGGUCCAGACUCCUACGGGAGGCAGCAGUGGGGAAUAUUGGACAAUGGGCGAAAGCCCUGAUCCAGCCAUGCCGCGUGUGUGAAGAAGGUCUUCGGAUUGUAAAGCACUUUAAGUUGGGAGGAAGGGCAGUUGCCUAAUACGUAACUGUUUUGACGUUACCGACAGAAUAAGCACCGGCUAACUCUGUGCCAGCAGCCGCGGUAAUACAGAGGGUGCAAGCGUUAAUCGGAAUUACUGGGCGUAAAGCGCGCGUAGGUGGUUUGUUAAGUUGGAUGUGAAAUCCCCGGGCUCAACCUGGGAACUGCAUUCAAAACUGACUGACUAGAGUAUGGUAGAGGGUGGUGGAAUUUCCUGUGUAGCGGUGAAAUGCGUAGAUAUAGGAAGGAACACCAGUGGCGAAGGCGACCACCUGGACUGAUACUGACACUGAGGUGCGAAAGCGUGGGGAGCAAAC